UCUUUGGAGCCAGAUGGCACGCAAUACGUCUGAAGCUAAAUCCAGUCUUGUGACAGUGGUCAUCGCCAGCGAGGAACCACUUGGUCUGUGACGCCAAACUAUUCGGUUCUUUGGAAAAUAUAAAAACACAUAAGAAGGCUGAGUGCCGAAGAACUGAUGCUUUCGAACUGUGGUGUUGGAUAAAACUCUUGAGAGUCCCUUGGACAGCAAGGAGACCAAACCAGUCCAUCUUAAAGGAAAUCAACCCCAAAUAUUCACUGGAAGGACUGAUGCUGAAGCUCCAAUACUUUGGCCAUCUGAUGUGAAAAGCCAACUCAUUGGAAAAGACCCUGACUCUGGAAACAUUGAGGGCAAGAAGAGAAGGGGUGACAGAAAAUGAGACGGUUGGAUGGCAUCACUGACUUAAUGGACAUAGUUUGAGCAAACUCUGGGAGAUAGUAAAGGACAGGGAAGCCUGACGUGCUGCAGUCCAUGGGGUCGCAAAGAUUAGGACAUGACUUAGCAACUGAGCUACUGUAAAACAACAAGAUAUGACACAACAAAGAAUGUAAAGAAAAAAAUUAAGGCUCUCAAAUAAAGAUAAAAUCAAGCAAUAAUAUGGGUAGUGG
This 608-nucleotide long non-coding RNA is filed under the name Bos indicus x Bos taurus (hybrid cattle). Its description in RNAcentral is "lncRNA (ENSBIXG00005022973.1)". Lineage: Eukaryota; Metazoa; Chordata; Mammalia; Artiodactyla; Bovidae. The record is from RNAcentral.